Molecule: small nuclear RNA, 106 nt
Organism: Capra hircus (goat)
Lineage: Eukaryota; Metazoa; Chordata; Mammalia; Artiodactyla; Bovidae
Source: Ensembl
GUGCUCGCUUCGGCAACACAUAUACUAAAAUUGGAACGAUACAGAGAAGAUUAGCAUGGCCCCUAAGUAGGAAGUCAAGAAACACCUGGAGUAACAGGAAAAUUUG